UUUCAUUGUCAGGAUCAAUAUUUAACUGUGAUCCACCAAUGUGUCCUAGGAUAACUCGUACUAUCUUAUCUCAGAGUUGCUUAAUUGUAGGUCUCAUGAGCAAAUGUCUGUGGACAUGGUGGAUCAUAUUGUUGAGGAGCAUCAUAUUGAAAUAGAGACUGAGAUGGUGAAAAGAGUUAAGGUGGGCUAAUAGCUACAAGUGUUUUACUCUCUCUUUUCUUCAUUCAAGUUUCUAUCAUCUGUUAUUUAAAACUUUUACUUUCAAGAAAGUCUAGACUUUAUGUUUUCUUGAUACUGCAGCUUUGGUGCCUUGACAGUUGAAAAUGAUUUCAGAGAAUUCUUCUUAUGUCAUUUUUUGUAUCAUUAAUUAUUGAGUUGUUAUUUUUGCUCAAAGAUUGCAUUCAAUUAUUAGGUACUUGUUAGGUGUGCCUGGUGGGGUGAAGCGUUAUUCAAAAUGUGUUAACUUUAAUCUCAAUCAUCUGUAUACCACAUGAUAAUAUCGAUGGUUAAGGACUUAAGGUAGUUUGCACUCUUUUACUGGAUAGAGCAAAUCUAUGUUGCCAUCAGAAAUUUUUACCUCAAAAUGCACCAUUUUGGUUAGAUGCCAUGUCAAGAAGUAUGCCAGUGCCACCAAGACUUAAGUCAAUUCUGGGAUUAUUAUCAUGAAUGUAUUGACUUUAAAAUGUACAGUUCUGAUGCCUGUAAGACUUAAUUUCCACGUCUGAAACAAAAUGGAUGUUAUAAAAUUAGAGUAGAUUCCGUUGCCAAGAUUUUGGGAGCUUAUUGGGUGAUGAAACGUAAGUUAUUGUUCUACAAAUGAUAAAUACUCUUACUUUAUGAUUUUAAUAAAAUACACAACCAUGUGUGGUUUUAAUUAAAAAAAUAACCAAUAGUGUUGGUUGGCAGUCUGAUAGAAUAGAUGAGUCAAUGUUGUGAUACCAAGUCUUGGUACUCUUCUCUCUCUCUCUCUCUCUCUGCGAUUUAUCUUAAGAUAAAAAUAUUUACUUCUACAAUUAGUGUUAGACUCUCCCUCUCAACUAGACAUUGUACUCCAAACGUGUGAGUUUUUAUCACUUUUUCUAUUUUCAUUGACCUGUAACUCAUUGCCAGGAAAUGAUACUUGCAAGUUCCAAGUUUCCCAUGGACAAAGUAAGUCUUGUUCUCAUAUUUACUAAGUUAUGAUGUGUGUUAUGUCAUUAAUAUGUAUAAAUUGCGUACUUAAAAUACAAUUGUAUCUCUUUUAUUCUUAUAACUUUUAUGGUCACAUCAAAGCUUUAUACUAUUUGACAUGUUCAUAUUUUCUCUUAUUUCAAGAGUGCAAGGGAAAAGUUUUUUCUGUAUGAUAUUGUGGCGAAUGGUCGAAAUGGAAUUGAUGUCGACAAGUUAGUAACUACGAUGCUGGGAUCCAGUUUUCUUAUUUGAAUGUUAUGUGUAUUUUCCCUUCUUCUAUCCCCUCUUUUUUGUUUCCCUUCUGUUGCUUACAAGUACGUAAACUGGUUGUCAGGUUUGAUUACAUUGUUCGCGAUUCCCGAGCAUGUGGUCUUGGUUGCAAUUUCCAGUUUCAGAGGUGUUUGUUCGAUCGAUCGAUCUUCAAAAUUUUAGCACAUGCACACGUUCGAAUAUUUAUAAACGAGCUGGGUGAAGAUAGUUACAAAAUAUUAAUAGAUUUACUAUGGUAUUUUUUUUAUGACUGUCAGGUUGAUGGAAACAAUGAGAGUCAUGGGAGACGAG
RNAcentral lists this long non-coding RNA (1731 nucleotides) under Olea europaea subsp. europaea. Lineage: Eukaryota; Viridiplantae; Streptophyta; Magnoliopsida; Lamiales; Oleaceae. The record is from RNAcentral.